This 220-nucleotide non-coding RNA is filed under the name Belliella pelovolcani. Lineage: Bacteria; Pseudomonadati; Bacteroidota; Cytophagia; Cytophagales; Cyclobacteriaceae. The record is from RNAcentral.
UGUUUGCAAAUAGAAAGCGGUUCUCGAUCCUUGUUCAGGCUCUCGAGAUUAAAAGGGAAUUCGGUGAAACACCGAAGCUGUCCCCGCAACUGUAACCCCAUUCUGAAUUACUUUCAGAAUAGAAGUUUGUCCACCUACAUUGCCAUUGUCCCGAGGUUCGGGGCGAGAAGGCUGACAAACUCAGGGAAGCCAGGAGACCUGCCGAUUUCUGAUGAUUCAA